This 497-nucleotide ribosomal RNA is filed under the name uncultured bacterium. RNAcentral describes it as "partial 16S ribosomal RNA". It matches the Rfam family "Bacterial small subunit ribosomal RNA", at positions 28 to 507 of the family's 1533-position model. The record is from RNAcentral.
GAUGAACGCUGGCGGCGUGCCUAAUACAUGCAAGUCGAGCGAACAGACGAGGAGCUUGCUCCUCUGACGUUAGCGGCGGACGGGUGAGUAACACGUGGAUAACCUACCUAUAAGACUGGGAUAACUUCGGGAAACCGGAGCUAAUACCGGAUAAUAUAUUGAACCGCAUGGUUCAAUAGUGAAAGACGGUUUUGCUGUCAAUUAUAGAUGGAUCCGCGCCGCAUUAGCUAGUUGGUAAGGUAACGGCUUACCAAGGCAACGAUGCGUAGCCGACCUGAGAGGGUGAUCGGCCACACUGGAACUGAGACACGGUCCAGACUCCUACGGGAGGCAGCAGUAGGGAAUCUUCCGCAAUGGGCGAAAGCCUGACGGAGCAACGCCGCGUGAGUGAUGAAGGUCUUCGGAUCGUAAAACUCUGUUAUUAGGGAAGAACAAAUGUGUAAGUAACUAUGCACGUCUUGACGGUACCUAAUCAGAAAGCCACGGCUAACUACGUG